Molecule: long non-coding RNA, 9219 nt
Filed under: Eucalyptus grandis
Lineage: Eukaryota; Viridiplantae; Streptophyta; Magnoliopsida; Myrtales; Myrtaceae
Description: long non-coding RNA (EGRA_LNC003639)
Source: RNAcentral
AAAUUACCAAAAGCUUCCGCUUGUAGUGACAAAUUCAAUGGCGGAGGAAGUGAUUUUGUUGGACUUCUGGCCGAGCCCGUUCGGGAUGAGGGCCAGGAUUGCCCUGCGAGAGAAGGGCGUGGAGUUCGAUAUGAGGGAGGAGGAUCUGAGCAACAAGAGCCCCCUGCUCUUGAAGAUGAACCCGGUCAACAAGCAAAUCCCCGUCCUCGUCCAUAAUGGCAAGCCCGUUUGUGAGUCCCUCCUCAUGGUCCAGUACAUCGACGAGACCUGGGUUCGCCAGUCUCCUCUCUUGCCUUCGGAUCCUUACGAGCGUGCCCGGGCCAGGUUCUGGGCUGACUACGUGGACAAGAAGGUAAGACAACAACGUCCUAGUCUUUUUAACAAUUCCUUAUUAACUGCCCUCAACAUCGAGUCACGAAAUGACGGUGCAGAUUUAUCCGGUGGGGCGAACGGUGUGGCAGUCGAGGGGGGAGGCCCAGGAGGCGGCGAAGAAGGAGUACAUCGAGUGCUUGAAGGUGUUGGAGGGAGAACUCGGGGACAAGGCUUACUUUGGCGGUGAGAGGUUCGGGUACGUGGAUGUGUCGCUGAUACCCUUCUAUAGCUGGUUCUAUGGGUUGGAGACGAUGGCCAACUUCAGCAUCGUGGAGGAGUGCCCCAAGCUGGUGGCGUGGGCCAAGCGGUGCAUGCAGAGGGAGAGCGUGGCCAAGUCAUUGCCCGACCAGCACAAGCUUUAUGACUUCCUCUUGGCACGCAUUAAGAAGCUUCAGGCGCAAUAAACAACUCGAGUCUGAUUAUGAUCAUCUUAUGACUCUAUUGUUCAAUAACCCCUCUCCUUUCACGAGGCUGAGCUCUUUUGUACCUCUAUUGCUUUCCUUUUUGUAUUCGAGUGUUUCUGGAUCAGCUUAUGGACUAUACCCAGCAUUUCAUCUAUUCCUUUGAUCUCUUUCUGUCACGUUAGGGAAUAUCUCCUCUGUUUCUAAUAACAAAUCCUCCAAAAGUUAUUUAGCACAUGUUGAAGCAUUCACUCGACAAAUUAGAUGAACUUAACUUUUUAAGCCGUCUGCCCAUGGCUUGGCUAAAAAUAUGCCACGGUCUCUUAUCUCUCUCUCGACAGUGCUUGCACAGACACUCACAGCAUAAAUAAAUAAUAAAAAAUACAUCGAUAAUAGAAGACAAACGAAUGUCAAUUGGACUCCAUCCCAUGGGCGUGCUCUAUGUGGAAAUAUAAAGCAAAGCGAACACUGGAGGAGGUCUGGAUGAUGAUGAUGAAGAUGAUGAGGGAUCUGCGUUGAAACUUGAAGAAUCUCUUUCUUCUUUAAGGAUCAUCGCUAAAGCACUCGUCAAUGGGUGCUUUGCUAAGUGAAGGAAUCUCGGGGGUACAACCUCUGUGAUGAACCCGGUGCGUUGUAUCUUGGCCAUCUACAAAUCAGUCCCCAAUUACGCGAAGUUGAAACAUGAACCCGGUGUAUGAACAAGUUGACGACAAACUCUGCGAGUAUAUAUGAUUAUAAACUCACGCCUCGGAAUCCAGUGAAACUUGAAAACACCAGAACGCCGAAUAAGAUGAAGAAAUUGCAGGCAUUUGCCUCAGAAUAUAUAAUGGACACUAGGAUCUUACAAUGGAGGGAGCUUGUGGAGUGCAUUCUUUCCGUACUAAUUUAGUUCUCAAUUGGUAGCACAUGCAAUUAAUUAGGAGUGAACAUGGUUAUAGGAUAGAAUUUGAAACCUGAUAACCGGACUGGUGAGAGCCUGAAAGUUCUGAGUUUUAAAGCAUGCAAGAUAGAUUUUAAAUUCCAAAAAAUAAGGAACCUGUUUCGAUGGGUAUAUUCCAAAUUCUUAGUUGGAAGAACCUAAAACUUGAAACCUGUAAGUUUGUAACAUAAAACCUGGAACAGGUUUUAAGUUUUUCUUGAUUUAUGUCUUCAUGCAAUUUUGCGAUAUAGUUUGAGCUUUCAUUUUUAUAACUGAGAUUUUUACUUUAUUAAUAUUCAUAUUAUCUAUAUACCUUUAUGAUCAAUGGAUUGUGCAUCAAGUAGUAAUCAUUAAAGGUUUUAAUUCACUGCAACCGUUCAAUUACUAAUAAGUUGAACAUGGAUAAACCCUAAAACCUGUAACAUGGUAGGUUCUAGACUCUAAAGUAUGCAGGAUGGGUUUCAGGUUUCAAGAAAAUGAAAAAUCUGUUUCAAUGAAUAGGCUCCGGAUUCCAAGUGGAACAUGUAUGAAACUUGAAACCGCUCACCCUUGUUAUUAAUGCCUCCCCCGUCAAUUUUGUCUUUUACGAGUUCUUUUACCAUACCUACUCCUAAUGAGCGAAACAUGCAUUUGAUUCUCUCUCCACUUUGUGUAAAUUAGGAGUGCCAACAUGUUUUAUGAAGCUUAUGUGUUGGAUAACUUUUAACAAGCUGAGCAACAUGGAGGUGUAUUUGUUUUAUGCAUGCUUACUCGAGAUAACUAUGCAACAUGAUCGAAGGUGAGGAGACGUGCAUUACAAGUGAAUAAUAGACCUGGGUUUAUUGACGGAUCGCUAGAGAAGCUAGAUCCAAAGGCACCCGAAUUUAAUGUCUAGGACGUUUGUAAUUCCAUGAUAGUUUCAUGGAUCUUCAAUUCCCUUGACAAGAGUUUACAAGGAAGCGUGGCAUAUGGAGAAGAAGCAAAAUUACUAUGGGCCAAGUUGAAGGAGAGAUUCGCUUAAGGUAACGGACCUCACAUCCACAAGGUCAAAACCAAGAUCGAGCUCCUACACCAUGGAGGACUCUCAGUGGUGGAACACUACACCAAAUUGAAAGUCUUAUGGGAUAAACUCAAUGAUUAUGAUGAUGUCAUAUAAUGUUACGUGUGUUGCACCCGCGAGAUACAAGAAGAAGAAGAAGGUGGAGUAUAUCCACCAGUUUCUCAUGGGCCUCAGUACCGAGACCUAUGGGAAUGUUCAUUCUCAAAUUCUCAAACCUCGAGCCACUCUUGUUCCUCAGUAAGGUUUAUUCUAUGAUCACAUAAGAGGAGUGCCAACGAUCAAUUGUUCAAGGGAGGGAAGAGAAGAUCGAGGAUGCUACUUUCUCUAUUGGAAGAACAGCCCCAAGGAAAACGCCAUUUGGGAAAUCUAAAUGUGUGGGAAGAUUAGGCAUGAGAAGAGUCAUUGCUGGGAGUUAGUUGGAUAUCCUCCAAAUUGGGAGCCAAGGCAAGGUGGAAAGGAAACUUUCCACAAUAGCUAUACAUUCUGUAGAGGUAGCAAUGACGGUUCUGACACUAUUGCAGAUACUAGUCAAAGAGGUCUAGAGGGGAGUGAGACAACAUCAACAAUUAGCAAUGAUUAAUAGUAGCAUUUGGUCAAUCUGCUCAUGAGAAGGUGUCGCGACCCUCCUGAAUUUUUUGAAAGUGAAUUACUUAAAGAAGGCUAAUGGAUUACUAAAUCCGAAGACUUGGCACGGACCCUCCCAAGUCCUACCAAUCGUGACUUGAUAUUAAGAAAUUAAUCUAUUUAAACAUGUAAUUAUAUUCAAUUUGGAGCCGCCACUAACCAAUUAGGGUUGAUUAGAAACCCAAGUAAAAUAUGGGAGAAUAGUUUACUUUUGCAAACCAGAGAUUCAGUAGGUCCGGGGACAUGGUUACGCUAGAUUAGUCUAACGCCCUUUCGGUACCUUUUUAUUUUAAUUUUAAAAAUAUUUUGCAGGCAAUGUUGAUUAAUUUAAACUUAAGCUACUAACAUGCAAAUGGUCAUGCGGGUGCACAAUCAAUAAAAUAAUAUUCAAUAAAAAAAUGUUAAUAAAAAUGCAUUGCCUUAAACAUGAUUUCUAAAUGACAUGAUACCUAAUUUUUCUCUUUCUUUUUGAAAAUGUUAAUUAUAUGCAAUCUUAAUUUAAAUUUGAUAUGCAUGAGUUUUACUUUAAUGACAUAUGAGAUGCAAUUCAUGUGGCAUAAUUCAAAUCAUUACAAUAUGUGUGCAAUCUAAUUUACAUAACCCUAAAUAUGCAUAUGUUGUAUGAUAUGAGAUGUAUGACAUGGUAAUUCUAUAUGCAUGUUCUUUUAUGAUUUUUUUUUUUUUAUGAUGAUUCAUUUUUUAAUGCAUAUAUGCAACCUAUGCUAAAUAAUGAUGAUAUGAAAUGAGAUUAAUUAUGAAUUAACCUAUUAACUAACAAGGAAAUGAUCUUUGGUUUUUCUUUCUUUUUUAAUGACAUAAUGUUUUUUAUUGAAAAGAAAGUAACUUAAUGGUGCAAUGAUCAUCUUUUAGCAUUUUCCUUUUUAUUAAAAAAAAAACAAUUAAACUAUAACUCAUAUGGCAUGCAUAACAUUUUUUUUUUCAUCUUUUUGUUUUACUAAAUGAAAAUUGACUUAAUCUAAAAAUAUCUAGGCGUGUUGCUUUGAUAUGAAAUGUGUAUGGACCUAAGUACCUAAGUUCUAGAUAUGACAAUAUUUUACUAAUAAACAAAUUCUAAUUAAACCUAUUAUGCAAAUUAAUUAAUAUGUACCUAAUAUUUUUUGGAUUCUUUUUAUUGAAAUUCGGAAUUAAUAAAAAAAACUAAUUAGACUAACUAAAGUGAAUGAUAUUCUAAUUUAUUUUAGGAAUCAAUUUAACUUAAAGUAUAUCUUAUCUUAAAAGCUAUAUAAAAAAUCAAGACAUGCCAACAUUAUUUAAAAUUAGCCCUAACAAAAAUCACUCAUCUAAAAGUAUAAUCUAAAAAUUAUAAUCCUAUAAAUGCAAUUCUAAUUUACUAACCCUAAAAAUAUAGUCCUAAUUUACUAAACCUAAAUGCUCUAAUGCAAUAUUUAGAUUUUUAUGUACUUUUUCUUUUUCUUUUUUUUGAUUUUUUUAAUCUUUCCAAACAAGUAAUUAUUUUAAAAGAAUGAAGAUAAGAAUUAAAAUAACCGAAAAAAUAAUCCGUUGCCUCACGGAUUAAAUUAACAAUUAUUUUAACUCUAUAAUGAUUUAACGAUUGAAAUACUAUCAAAAUUCCUAAAAAUUAAAGUAAUUAAAAAAAUGACCCGACGUCUUAUGGGUCAAAUUAAUAAUUACCUUAAUUUGGGAUAAAACUCCUAAUGUCUACAAGGUCUACAAAUAUUGACAUACAGUACUACAAUUCAAAUAAUUAAACUUAAAAAUAAGCUAACAUAACAUGAAAUAAGUAAAAAAUAAAAAUAAACUACCUAAGGCUUGGAAAAUGGGAGCAGCAACGGUGGUUCAGUGAUGGGUCGUGGUGGCUAGAGUAAGGCGGUCGUCGGAACUCCGGCGAGGCUCGGGUAGCAACCGAACCUGCAGCAAAACAGGGGAGACAGCAGGUGGCGGAGCUUGGGGCGUUGCAGCGGCGGACACAGGCGGUGCGGGGGCUUCUGGUUCCGGGUGGAUCGCGGACAGGGCAAGGAAAGCUGCGACGUCGCGGGUCGGCACAGCGGUGGCUUCGUCGGGCUGGUGGAACGGCUCCUCAGUAGCGAGCACGGCGAAGAAACUCCGGCGCGGGCGGCGGCGAGGGAACUCAGAGACGGUGAGCUGGCAGCGAAUGGGAUCGAAGACUCGCGGGAUGCAGGCGAGGAGGAGACGCGGCGUCUGGCGGGACUGCAACGGAUGUCGAACGGAGGCGGCUGGCUAAAGGCUCGAGGGUUCGGAGCUCCGGUGAAACACGUCGUCCAGCGACGAGAUGCUGAGGAACAGAUCAGGAGCGGCGUCUCCUGUCGGGCUGCAGUGGUGCGACGAGCAGUAGUGCAGGGUAGUGACCAACGGAGCGCUUCGCUUGUCGGUGCGGUGGCACGGGUGACGACGGGUGACGAGCCGGGGGGCGAUCGGUGGCCGGCGCGAACAGUAACGGCAGAGGAGCUUGCGUAUGCGGGAGGUCGAGUAGCAGCGGCGAAGAAGACGAUAUGUUCUUCCUCUGCUUCUGUUUUUGCUUCUUCUUUUUUUUUUCUUUUGUCUUUUUCUCUCUUUCCCUCACACGUCUCACUCACCUGUCUCUCUCUCUCUCUCUUUUACUGUGCUCUGCUGCACUUUUCAGCGGACGAAAAAGUGCUUCCUCCUGCUGACUUCGAAACUAGCAGCAAGAAAACCCAAAAAGAACUUCUCUUGCUGCCUUCACUUUUUUACUUUUCUUUUUUCUUUUCACUUUUGUACUCUUUUCUCCUUCGACGAAGACGAAGAGAAGCCCCCCACUCGGUUCUAAAGCCUCGCAUUUUAUAAUGAAAGCACUCAAAGUUGUUUUUGCAAAUGAGAUAUUCACUCAACGACUCCAACAAUAAAAGGGCUCCAAAAUCAAAUAAAAACUGAUUUUUUUUUAAUUUUGAAAUGAAGAUAUCUUUUCAACAAAAAGUUUCCAAAACCGAAUUUCUGUUUUAUUUAUUAUUUUCUAAAAUAUUAGGUGUCAACACAAGGAAACAGCCUACUUUGAAUGAUCGACUCACAAGUAAGGUCAAUUGGCCUAAUGAUGUCUCCACAAAUUAGAUUAUCGAUAGUGGCACCUCUAAACAUAUGAUAAGACGGUUUUUUCUUCUAAAUCAACCGAGAAACAACACAGGUGGAUUUCCUAUAUGAAUUGGGGAUGAACAAAAGAAUUUUAUCACCUGGACUACUCGAAACUAGAACGGGCCAGAAUCGGAAACGGUAGUUCGUAAGGGAGAAGAUUUGGUUCUCGGUUGCAAUUUGGUGAAAACAGUGAGUACCAAUUUGGUUCCCGGUUCUAGGUGUGGAACCACUCAUUCACUCACUCGAACAUGACUCAUAUAUAUAUCUUUAAAAAGAAAAAGAAAUUCUAUCACAAUUACUUAAUUAUUUUGUAGCCGUCGACCUGACACACACACACACACAUAUACACAUUUAUGUAUAUUUGUAGUUAUUAGACAUUAUUGACUAAUUUUGUCUAUUGGGUGUAUGAUAGGAUUAACUCCUUACAAAUUUUUUUCUACUCUAACAAUCCAUUUACUUACUUUCUAAACCAAAACAAAAUAAACAAACGAAGAGGAAGGAGAAGACCAGUUGGAGAUGCCCAUAAAUGUUGCUUUACCAUCAUGAUAUGAAAUUAAGAGCCAACAACUCAUUUCAAGAGCAUAAUUAAAUCUCUCAUUAGCCAUCCCCAUGAUUAAAUUAGAUUGAUGCUAAAAAAAUGAUUAGAACAAUUAAUGUUUUAACUUAUGUGGAAGUUAAGAUUUUUAAAGUAGAGUUUAAUUCUUAGCAUGUUCCCAGUGUCAGGAAAUCCCAAGAGGACCAUAACAUAACCUUUAAAGAAAUUAAGCUUCUAUCUAAUGAGUAUUGUCCAUUCAUUUCGCCCUAUAAUUUUCAAUCCUUAAUUAAAAUCAAUGGCUUACAAUUCAACCCAAAUAUAAUGUCGAACAAGUUUUGGUGCUCUAAAACAAAAACUAGGUUCAACCUAAUAUUAAUUGAUCAAUGCAAUUUUAUAAGUUUUAGGGACCGAUUUCAUGGACCCUCUGGGGAACUAGAUCGGACCGACAGUCUGAUUCCCGAGUGGAUCCAAGGAACCAACGAGUGAUUUCCGAUUCCAAUUUUUUGGAAUCGGUCCUUAGUGGAUAGUUUUCUAUUCUACAGUUGAAACCACCCACCCAUACCAUGCUCACCCCUAAUAUGAACUCCUUAUGGAAAAGUGAUUCAUGCUAUUAAGAGAGGCAAUGUUCAUUUAAGCCCUAAUUAUUUUGCAUGAUAUGCUAUAUGUUCCAAACUUUCAGUACAAUCUUAUUUCUGUUAGAAAAUUGAGUUUAGAUUUGCAAUGCUCAAUAAUAUUGUUCUCUUCUCAACAUGUCAUACAAGAUCUAUCCUCAAAGAGAUUGAUUGGAGUGGGUAAUCUUUAAUAAGGGGUUUAUUAUCUUGGAUGCGUGGGCAGCAUUUGGGUUUCCAUCUUUGUAUACAAAGGGAAGCACUACCAUGGAGCCGCUUUUCGUCUCAUUUGGAUAAAGGAAGUCAGAGUUUCUGACAUAAAUUGAAAAUAUCGAGAGGUUGAAAAACAAAUCAUUUAUGGUUCCAUUUGUAGAUUGCAAAUUGCACCAUUUUUAACUCAAGACUUGUUCAAUCAAUCGAAAACUUAACUAGAUAAGUUCCAUUCAUUCUCGACAGCUUCUACGUCUUAAUUCAUCGGUUGAAGUAAUCUUUAACCCUCUGAUGAAAUUCAGAGCAAAGUCGAUUGACAUAUAGUAAGUUGUGAAGUUCAUCCUUUUCAACAUGAAGAAAUAAUAUUAAAUAAACUUUAAGAAGGCAGCAAAGUCAAAAUAGCUGUCUCCAAGAUGUAACCUGCUUCCUAAUCUUGAUCUUGAGUAAGAUCUGGUCCCUUCUUGUCCUCUUCUUGCCUUGCUUAGUUUCUUCAAGGUACUUUUUGCAGCAUAAAAUUGCAAUUUGCUUACCGAUAAAAGCUUGACUCUAUAUCAAUGACGAGCUGAUUAUACUUAUUAUUCUAUUUGUAUCAUGAAAAAUAAAUAUUUAGAAAAAUAUUUUCUUAAAAUGAAAUCAAAAAUAUAUUUCUUUAUCGACAACUUUUUAUAUCUAAAUAUUUUAUAUGUAAUGAAAAUAUUUUUCAUUCACUUAAUUUUAUAAAUAAUAAAAGCGGAUUUGAUGGAAUCCAAGUACAUAAAUAAUCGAGAAAUGGAAAAUGGAGGAGUCGGUGAGGAACUGGAAGGUACUAGAAAGAGGGAAACGACUGCCAGUCAAGCUGAUAGUAAUAAUAAUUAUAUCUCUCGUUCGUGUGACACCUAAGCCAUGACCUCAUCGGCUUGGGCAUCUUAUGCUCCAGCGUGUCAAACAAGAAGGCAGUGACAGCACGAAACGUGUCUCGUGGGACCCACGAUUUCAGGAGUGGAGACUUGAGAUCUGGAAUGACGCGAGCAAUGACCAUAUCGAGCCGCCUCUCCACCCACCCUGCGGCCAAAUAAAAGUCACAUCGUCAAAAUCCCGCCAAAAUCCUCUUUCCCUCUACAUAAGUGGCACCCGAGUUAGCCUGAUUUCACCGCGGACAGCAUUCUUCAUUUCAGUUCAAAUUAGCAAAAGCUUCAGCUUGUAGCUACAAAUUCAAUGGCGGAGGAAGUGAUUUUGUUGGACUUCUGGUCGAGCCCGUUCGGGAUGAGGGCCAGGAUUGCCCUGCGUGAGAAGGGCGUGGAGUUCGACUGGAGGGAGGAGGACCUGAGCAACAAGAGCCCCCUGCUCUUGAAGAUGAACCCAGUCCACAAGAAGAUCCCCGUCCUCAUCCACAAUGGUAAGCCCGUUUGCGAGUCCCUCAUCAUGGUCCAGUACAUCGACGAGAC